This 1542-nucleotide ribosomal RNA is filed under the name Mesorhizobium sp. RNAcentral's name for it is "partial 23S ribosomal RNA". It matches the Rfam family "Bacterial large subunit ribosomal RNA", at positions 1422 to 2925 of the family's 2925-position model. Lineage: Bacteria; Pseudomonadati; Pseudomonadota; Alphaproteobacteria; Hyphomicrobiales; Phyllobacteriaceae. The record is from RNAcentral.
ACAGGUUAAUAUUCCUGUACUUGGUGUUACUGCGAAGGGGGGACGGAGAAGGCUAGGCUAGCCGAGCGACGGUUGUCUCGGUUUAAGCGUGUAGGGGGGUGUUCCUGGUAAAUCCGGAACGCUGUCAACCCUGAGGCGUGAUGACGAUGCACUACGGUGCAGAAGUAGUUGAUGCCAAGCUUCCAGGAAAAGCCUCUAAGCUCCAGGUAACAUCAAAUCGUACCCCAAACCGACACAGGUGGUCAGGUAGAGAAUACCAAGGCGCUUGAGAGAACUCGGGUGAAGGAACUAGGCAAAAUGGUGCCGUAACUUCGGGAGAAGGCACGCUGGCGCGUAGGUGAAGUCCCUUGCGGAUGGAGCUGAAGCCAGUCGCAGAUACCAGCUGGCUGCAACUGUUUAAUAAAAACACAGCACUGUGCAAACACGAAAGUGGACGUAUACGGUGUGACGCCUGCCCGGUGCCGGAAGGUUAAUUGAUGGGGUUAUCCGUAAGGAGAAGCUCUUGAUCGAAGCCCCGGUAAACGGCGGCCGUAACUAUAACGGUCCUAAGGUAGCGAAAUUCCUUGUCGGGUAAGUUCCGACCUGCACGAAUGGCGUAAUGAUGGCCAGGCUGUCUCCACCCGAGACUCAGUGAAAUUGAACUCGCUGUGAAGAUGCAGUGUACCCGCGGCAAGACGGAAAGACCCCGUGAACCUUUACUAUAGCUUUGCACUGGACUUUGAAUUUGCUUGUGUAGGAUAGGUGGGAGGCUUUGAAGUGGGGACGCCAGUUCUCAUGGAGCCAUCCUUGAAAUACCACCCUGGCAACUUUGAGGUUCUAACUCAGGUCCGUUAUCCGGAUCGAGGACAGUGUAUGGUGGGUAGUUUGACUGGGGCGGUCUCCUCCCAAAGAGUAACGGAGGAGUACGAAGGUGCGCUCAGACCGGUCGGAAAUCGGUCGUAGAGUAUAAAGGCAAAAGCGCGCUUGACUGCGAGACAAACACGUCGAGCAGGUACGAAAGUAGGUCUUAGUGAUCCGGUGGUUCUGUAUGGAAGGGCCAUCGCUCAACGGAUAAAAGGUACUCCGGGGAUAACAGGCUGAUACCGCCCAAGAGUUCAUAUCGACGGCGGUGUUUGGCACCUCGAUGUCGGCUCAUCACAUCCUGGGGCUGAAGCCGGUCCCAAGGGUAUGGCUGUUCGCCAUUUAAAGUGGUACGCGAGCUGGGUUUAGAACGUCGUGAGACAGUUCGGUCCCUAUCUGCCGUGGACGUUUGAGAUUUGAGAGGGGCUGCUCCUAGUACGAGAGGACCGGAGUGGACGAACCUCUGGUGUUCCGGUUGUCACGCCAGUGGCAUUGCCGGGUAGCUAUGUUCGGAAGAGAUAACCGCUGAAAGCAUCUAAGCGGGAAACUUGCCUCAAGAUGAGAUCUCACUGGAGCCUUGAGCUCCCUGAAGGGCCGUCGAAGACUACGACGUUGAUAGGCAGGGUGUGUAAGCGCUGUGAGGCGUUGAGCUAACCAAUACUAAUUGCCCGUGAGGCUUGACCAUAUAACACCCAAGCAAUU